Molecule: unclassified non-coding RNA, 162 nt
Filed under: uncultured Tubeufiaceae
Lineage: Eukaryota; Fungi; Ascomycota; Dothideomycetes; Tubeufiales; Tubeufiaceae
Description: sequence contains ITS1
Source: RNAcentral
CUGAGUACCGGGUCUCUCAGGCCCUUACUCCCACCCUUUUGUGUACCUUACCACAUUUUUCAGUUGCUUUGGUGGGUUUUUUUGUCAAAGAAAAAACUCACCAUUGGAACUCUUUUAAACUCUUGAUAAUUGAGUUGUCUGAGAACAAAAACAAAUAAAUUA